GCACUGUAGCGUAGUCCAUCGCACAUUUCGGAUAGACUGCUAAUAAUUGCUCCGAAGGCGGAGGCCAGAGGUUCGAAUCCUCUCGGGUGCGCCA
RNAcentral lists this transfer RNA (94 nucleotides) under Paracoccus marinaquae. Its description in RNAcentral is "tRNA-OTHER". Lineage: Bacteria; Pseudomonadati; Pseudomonadota; Alphaproteobacteria; Rhodobacterales; Paracoccaceae. The record is from RNAcentral.